This 606-nucleotide ribosomal RNA is filed under the name uncultured Burkholderiaceae bacterium. RNAcentral describes it as "bacterial SSU rRNA". It matches the Rfam family "Bacterial small subunit ribosomal RNA", at positions 32 to 632 of the family's 1533-position model. The record is from RNAcentral. Lineage: Bacteria; Pseudomonadati; Pseudomonadota; Betaproteobacteria; Burkholderiales; Burkholderiaceae.
GACGCUACGGCUGCUUACACCUGCAGUCGAACGGCAGCGGGGGAGCUUGCUCCCGCCGGCGAGUGGCGAACGGGUGAGUAAUACAUCGGAACGUACCCAGUAGCGGGGGAUAGCCCGGCGAAAGCCGGAUUAAUACCGCAUACGCCCUACGGGGGAAAGGGGGGGAUCUUCGGACCUCUCACUAUUGGAGCGGCCGAUGGCUGAUUAGCUAGUUGGUGGGGUAAAGGCCUACCAAGGCGACGAUCAGUAGCUGGUCUGAGAGGACGACCAGCCACACUGGGACUGAGACACGGCCCAGACUCCUACGGGAGGCAGCAGUGGGGAAUUUUUGGACAAUGGGCGAAAGCCUGAUCCAGCAAUGCCGCGUGUGCGAAGAAGGCCUUCGGGUUGUAAAGCACUUUUGUCAGGGGAAGAAAUCGUUUGGGUUAAUACCCCGAGCAGUUGACGGUACCUGAAGAAUAAGCACCGGCUAACUACGUGCCAGCAGCCGCGGUAAUACGUAGGGUGCAAGCGUUAAUCGGAAUUACUGGGCGUAAAGCGUGCGCAGGUGGUUUGUUAAGACAGUUGUGAAAUCCCCGGGCUUAACCUGGGAACUGCCAAUUGUGA